Molecule: ribosomal RNA, 404 nt
Filed under: uncultured cyanobacterium
Lineage: Bacteria; Bacillati; Cyanobacteriota
Description: bacterial SSU rRNA
Rfam family: Bacterial small subunit ribosomal RNA
Source: RNAcentral
UGGGGAAUUUUCCGCAAUGGGCGAAAGCUUGACGGAGCAAUGCCGCGUGGAGGUAGAAGGCCUACGGGUCGUGAACUUCUUUUCCCGGAGAAGAAGCAAUGACGGUAUCUGGGGAAUAAGCAUCGGCUAACUCUGUGCCAGCAGCCGCGGUAAUACAGAGGAUGCAAGCGUUAUCCGGAAUGAUUGGGCGUAAAGCGUCUGUAGGUGGCUUUUUAAGUCCGCCGUCAAAUCCCAGGGCUCAACCCUGGACAGGCGGUGGAAACUGCCAAGCUGGAGUACGGUAGGGGCAGAGGGAAUUUCCGGUGGAGCGGUGAAAUGCGUAGAGAUCGGAAAGAACACCAACGGUGAAAGCACUCUGCUGGGCCGACACUGACACUGAGAGACGAAAGCUAGGGGAGCGAAUG